Molecule: unclassified non-coding RNA, 376 nt
Filed under: Hevea brasiliensis (rubber tree)
Lineage: Eukaryota; Viridiplantae; Streptophyta; Magnoliopsida; Malpighiales; Euphorbiaceae
Source: RNAcentral
CCUUUACUCACAAGCCACCUUGGAGACUCGGGCAAGUAAAGUACAGUCAAAGCAAAAUAAACAAGAGAGGGAAUAGAAAGAACCCCAAGCAUCAAUCUCCAACUUGGUGCCUUCGUCAAGGACAUUCCAAACACCAUACAGUAUGACAUAAACAUGCCACCAGAUCCAGUGAACUGAGGAAGAGUAUUCAACAAUCCCCUGAUUUCAGGUGGUGCAGUCUCAGAUAUAUAAACUGGAACAAGAGUUACUGCCAAACCAAUACCAAAUCCAUCCAAAAGCCUUGCCAAGAGUAGAACAUAAACAUUGGGAGACCAAAACAUCACAACACCACUCACGCAAUAGAGUAUAGAAGAGAUUAUCAACAUAGGACGGCGCC